This 397-nucleotide long non-coding RNA is filed under the name Equus caballus (horse). RNAcentral describes it as "lncRNA (ENSECAG00000046023.1)". The record is from RNAcentral. Lineage: Eukaryota; Metazoa; Chordata; Mammalia; Perissodactyla; Equidae.
GGGGUCUGCACACUGGAGAUCAUGCCAUCUUGGAGUCCUCCUGGGCACGUAGGCAAGAGAGAAGCACCCCACACGUGGGACCCCCGUCCAUGACAGGAGAGGACAGUGGUCAAGAGCUCAAAUACAAUCGGACAGAACCGGCUGUUCCUCCAGUGCAGGAGGAGUUGUGUGGCCUUGGGCAAGUUUCUCAACCUCUCUGAGCCAGUUUCCUCAUCCCUUGAGUCUGAUCCCAAAAACCCCACAGUAUUAAUCACACUGUCCCCUGGGGCCAUCUUCACCGCCAGGACCUGGCAGAGAGAAGCCAAGAGGAUUAAGGCAGGACAGUCACAGACAGAAGCCCCCUGGCCACGGAUGGGCCCUGGAGGGCAGGAUCCUGAACUGGCUUGAAGUCUCCCAC